CAGAGUACAGAGUGACCGGUUAGAGAGUCGUGCUAGGCACGACGCAAUGGGUCAGGCACGACUUGUCCUCGCUUUCUC
Molecule: non-coding RNA, 78 nt
Organism: Caenorhabditis elegans
Lineage: Eukaryota; Metazoa; Nematoda; Chromadorea; Rhabditida; Rhabditidae
Source: Ensembl